ACACUGGUUCACGUACGAUCACCGAAGUUAAGCAACGUCGAGCCUAGUCAGUAUCUAGAUGGGUGACUGCUUCGGAAUACCAACUGCUGUAAG
Non-coding RNA from Acanthosepion pharaonis, 93 nucleotides. The record is from the annotation of a GenBank genome assembly. Lineage: Eukaryota; Metazoa; Mollusca; Cephalopoda; Sepiida; Sepiidae.